UUAGAGGAAGUAAAAGUCGUAACAAGGUUUCCGUAGGUGAACCUGCGGAAGGAUCAUUAAUAACUGGAGCUGCCUUGCUAGAGAUAGUGGGGUAGUUACCAUCAAAGACACGCUAUAUUAAGACCGCCUUAACCUCAGAGGGUCAAACUCUAGGGGGUCGGGAAGUGACCAGUUACGGAUUGAACGUUUUUAGGGUAAAGCCUAGGGACCAUGAAGUGCUAGUUUACGGAUGGACACCUGGAUGUGUCUUGAUCAGCGAUCUUUAAACCUCUUGUUUACCUUACCUUAGUUGCUUUGGCGGGCCACAGCUUGCUGUGUAGGCCUCGGCUUACCGUGCCCGCCGGAGGACCAAAUUCUGUGUUUAGUGAUGUCUGAGUACUAUAUUUAAUAGUUAAAACUUUCAACAACGGAUCUCUUGGUUCUGGCAUCGAUGAAGAACGCAGCGAAAUGCGAUAAGUAAUGCGAAUUGCAGAAUUCAGUGAGUCAUCGAAUUUUUGAACGCACAUUGCGCCCCUUGGUAUUCCGAGGGGCAUACCUGUUCGAGCGUCAUUAACAACCCUCAAGCCUAGCUUGGUGUUGGAGUCGCUAUUUUAGCGGCCCCUAAAUUCAGUGGCGGUACCUAUAGGUUCUACGCGUAGUAAUUUUUCUCGCGAUGGAUCCCCUAUAGGCCCUAGCCAAUAACCCCAAUUUUUUCAGGUUGACCUCGGAUCAGGUAGGGAUACCCGCUGAACUUAAGCAUAUCAAUAAGCGGAGGA
This 755-nucleotide ribosomal RNA is filed under the name Helotiaceae 1 RB-2011. RNAcentral's name for it is "eukaryotic LSU rRNA". The stretch from base 396 to 549 matches the Rfam family "5.8S ribosomal RNA". Lineage: Eukaryota; Fungi; Ascomycota; Leotiomycetes; Helotiales; Helotiaceae. The record is from RNAcentral.